GCGCCCUUAGCUCAGUGGAUUAGAGCACUUGCCUUCGAAGCAAGGGGUCGGGGGUUCGAAUCCCUCAGGGCGCG
RNAcentral lists this transfer RNA (74 nucleotides) under bacterium. Its description in RNAcentral is "tRNA-Arg". It matches the Rfam family "tRNA". Rfam says of the family: Transfer RNA (tRNA) molecules are approximately 80 nucleotides in length. Their secondary structure includes four short double-helical elements and three loops (D, anti-codon, and T loops). Further hydrogen bonds mediate the characteristic L-shaped molecular structure. tRNAs have two regions of fundamental functional importance: the anti-codon, which is responsible for specific mRNA codon recognition, and the 3' end, to which the tRNAs corresponding amino acid is attached (by aminoacyl-tRNA synthetases). tRNAs cope with the degeneracy of the genetic code in two manners: having more than one tRNA (with a specific anti-codon) for a particular amino acid; and 'wobble' base-pairing, i.e. permitting non-standard base-pairing at the 3rd anti-codon position. The record is from RNAcentral.